GGCUCAGGAUGAACGCUGGCGGCGUGCCUAACACAUGCAAGUCGAACGGAGAUUAACGCUGAUGAGGCUUCGGCGGAUUCUUGCUAAAUCUUAGUGGCGGACGGGUGAGUAACGCGUGGGCAACCUGCCUCGUACUGGGGGAUAACAGUUGGAAACGACUGUUAAUACCGCAUAAGCGCACGGUGUCGCAUGACACAGUGUGAAAAACUCCGGUGGUACGAGAUGGGCCCGCGUCAGAUUAGCCAGUUGGUGGGUAACGGCCUACCAAAGCAACGAUCUGUAGCCGGACUGAGAGGUCGGACGGCCACAUUGGGACUGAGACACGGCCCAAACUCCUACGGGAGGCAGCAGUGGGGGAUAUUGCACAAUGGGCGAAAGCCUGAUGCAGCGACGCCGCCGUGAGUGGAGAAGUAUUUCGGUAUGUAAAGCUCUAUCAGCAGGGAAGAAAGACCCGCAAGGGAGAUGACGGUACCUGACUAAGAAGCCCCGGCUAACUACGUGCCAGCAGCCGC
This 512-nucleotide ribosomal RNA is filed under the name uncultured bacterium. RNAcentral describes it as "bacterial SSU rRNA". It matches the Rfam family "Bacterial small subunit ribosomal RNA", at positions 21 to 518 of the family's 1533-position model. The record is from RNAcentral.